RNAcentral lists this non-coding RNA (46 nucleotides) under Schistosoma margrebowiei. The record is from RNAcentral. Lineage: Eukaryota; Metazoa; Platyhelminthes; Trematoda; Strigeidida; Schistosomatidae.
GCACUGCUGAGGAGUCCCACAAUAGGACGAAACGACCGUACAAUGC